Molecule: ribosomal RNA, 253 nt
Filed under: uncultured bacterium
Lineage: Bacteria
Description: partial 16S ribosomal RNA
Rfam family: Bacterial small subunit ribosomal RNA
Source: RNAcentral
UACGGAGGGUGCAAGCGUUGUCCGGAAUCACUGGGCGUAAAGGGCGCGUAGGCGGCUCAUGAAGGUUGUGGUGAAAGUCCGGGGCUCAACCUCGGAUCGGCCGUGGCGACUCGUGGGCUGGAGCACUGUAGAGGCGGGUGGAAUUCCGGGUGUAGCGGUGGAAUGCGUAGAGAUCCGGAAGAACACCAGUGGCGAAGGCGGCCCGCUGGGCAGUGGCUGACGCUGAGGCGCGACAGCGUGGGGAGCAAACAGG